GACGAACGCUGGCGGCGUGCCUAAUACAUGCAAGUCGAACGCAUUUUCUUUCACCGUAGCUUGCUACACCGAAAGAAAAUGAGUGGCGAACGGGUGAGUAACACGUUGGUAACCUGCCCAUCAGCGGGGGAUAACACUUGGAAACAGGUGCUAAUACCGCAUAAUUCCAUUUACCGCAUGGUAAAUGGAUGAAAGGCGCUUUUGCGUCACUGAUGGAUGGACCCGCGGUGCAUUAGCUAGUUGGUGGGGUAACGGCCUACCAAGGCUGCGAUGCAUAGCCGACCUGAGAGGGUGAUCGGCCACACUGGGACUGAGACACGGCCCAGACUCCUACGGGAGGCAGCAGUAGGGAAUCUUCGGCAAUGGACGCAAGUCUGACCGAGCAACGCCGCGUGAGUGAAGAAGGUUUUCGGAUCGUAAAACUCUGUUGUUAGAGAAGAACAAGGAUGAGAGUGGAAAGUUCAUCCCUUGACGGUAUCUAACCAGAAAGCCACGGCUAACUACGUG
This 507-nucleotide ribosomal RNA is filed under the name uncultured bacterium. Its description in RNAcentral is "partial 16S ribosomal RNA". It matches the Rfam family "Bacterial small subunit ribosomal RNA", at positions 28 to 507 of the family's 1533-position model. The record is from RNAcentral.